AUUGAACGCUGGCGGCAGGCUUAACACAUGCAAGUCGAGCGGGGUGAUGGUGCUUGCACUAUCACUUAGCGGCGGACGGGUGAGUAAUGCUUAGGAAUCUGCCUAUUAGUGGGGGACAACAUCUCGAAAGGGAUGCUAAUACCGCAUACGUCCUACGGGAGAAAGCAGGGGAUCACUUGUGACCUUGCGCUAAUAGAUGAGCCUAAGUCGGAUUAGCUAGUUGGUGGGGUAAAGGCCUACCAAGGCGACGAUCUGUAGCGGGUCUGAGAGGAUGAUCCGCCACACUGGGGCUUAGACACGGCCCAGACUCCUACGGGAGGCAGCAGUGGGGAGUAUUGGACAAUGGGGGGAACCCUGAUCCAGCCAUGCCGCGUGUGUGAAGAAGGCCUUAUGGUUGUAAAGCACUUUAAGCGAGGAGGAGGCUCUUUUGGUUAAUACCCAAGAUGAGUGGACGUUACUCGCAGAAUAAGCACCGGCUAACUCUGUGCCAGCCGCCGCAGUAA
This 503-nucleotide ribosomal RNA is filed under the name uncultured bacterium. RNAcentral's name for it is "partial 16S ribosomal RNA". It matches the Rfam family "Bacterial small subunit ribosomal RNA", at positions 30 to 523 of the family's 1533-position model. The record is from RNAcentral.